CGAACGCUGUUGGUGGUCCCUAAAACAAGCAAGUCGAGCGGAGAUAUAAAAGCUGACUUUUGAAUAUCAGCGGCGGACGGGUGAGUAACACGUGGGCAACUGGCCUGUAAGACUGGGAUAACUUGCGGAAACGUGAGCUAAUCCCGGAUAACAUCUUUUCUCGCAUGAAGAGAGAUUAAAAGACGGUUUCGGCUGUCACUUACAGAUGGGCACGCGGCGCAUUAGCUAGUUGGUGAGGUAACGGCUCACCAAGGCAACGAUGCGUAGCCGACCUGAGAGGGUGAUCGGCCACACUGGGACUGAGACACGGCCCAGACUCCUACGGGAGGCAGCAGUAGGGAAUCUUCCGCAAUGGACGAAAGUCUGACGGAGCAACGCCGCGUGAGUGAUGAAGGUUUUCGGAUCGUAAAACUCUGUUGUCAGGGAAGAACAAGUAUCGGAGUAACUGCCGGUACCUUGACGGUACCUGACCAGAAAGCCACGGCUAACUACGUGCCAGCAGCCGCGGUAAUACGUAGGUGGCAAGCGUUGUCCGGAAUUAUUGGGCGUAAAGCGCGCGCAGGCGGUCUCUUAAGUCUGAUGUGAAAGCCCCCGGCUCAACCGGGGAGGGUCAUUGGAAACUGGGAGACUUGAGUGCAGAAGAGAAGAGUGGAAUUCCACGUGUAGCGGUGAAAUGCGUAGAGAUGUGGAGGAACACCAGUGGCGAAGGCGACUCUUUGGUCUGUAACUGACGCUGAGGCGCGAAAGCGUGGGGAGCGAACAGGAUUAGAUACCCUGGUAGUCCACGCCGUAAACGAUGAGUGCUAAGUGUUAGAGGGUUUCCGCCCUUUAGUGCUGCAGCAAACGCAUUAAGCACUCCGCCGUGGGAU
This 869-nucleotide ribosomal RNA is filed under the name Bacillus hackensackii. Its description in RNAcentral is "bacterial SSU rRNA". It matches the Rfam family "Bacterial small subunit ribosomal RNA", at positions 30 to 880 of the family's 1533-position model. The record is from RNAcentral. Lineage: Bacteria; Bacillati; Bacillota; Bacilli; Caryophanales; Bacillaceae.